UCUGAGAUCAAAUCUAUCCGUCGAAUAGGAGCCGCGGGAGAACAAGAACCCUUCAUUUGAGCACGGCUCGCCUCUUCGAUCCUAUAAAUACGUUAUAUCUCGUCCCUCUUCCAUCGCAAAGGCGCCGAUUUGGGCGAUGUCCGUCGCCCUUUCCGUUUCUUCUUCCCCAUCGAUCCAUCGUUCGCUAUGUCGUUUUGAUUUCUCAUUCAGUUGCCAUACCGGGAGGCGGGAGCUGUGGCUUCUCUUUGAAGCUGCCGUAGCCCUAAUGUAAAGCCGGCCGACGUUGCCAGUACUUUGGAUCGCACGCGACUUUGAGACCUAGUUCGUCGACGACGAUGAUGAGUCUACAGACCUGUAAUGAUUUUUGCGGAUAUGAUCGCACUAUCAAAGAACAUCUAAGGGACUGAGUCGUCGUCACCAAAUUCGUUCUACACGAAUCUAUACUUGUUGAAUUUACUGUCUAAUGUCAUUUGCUUCACUAUCUGGUCAUUGAGGAUCAUUUCCAUUCCCAAUGUACUCGUUCCCUUGAAGCUAGAUUUUGCGUUGUCAUGAUCAUCAUUUUACUCGCCGACCCAAUAAACUUCUUGGCGAGUUAAUGAUCAUCACAUAAAUUUUAACAAGUAUUUCGUGCGCAACUGUUUUCAUGGCAGAUGAGGAUUUGUUGAUUUUAAUGGGUAAUUUGCAUCUGAAACUUGUGAUGUUACCUAUCAUAUCACCUUGGAGAUCUGAUGCCUAAAGUU
Molecule: long non-coding RNA, 740 nt
Organism: Zingiber officinale
Lineage: Eukaryota; Viridiplantae; Streptophyta; Magnoliopsida; Zingiberales; Zingiberaceae
Exons: 2
Source: RefSeq, a predicted model, not a curated record